This 106-nucleotide small nuclear RNA is filed under the name Theropithecus gelada (gelada). Lineage: Eukaryota; Metazoa; Chordata; Mammalia; Primates; Cercopithecidae. The record is from RNAcentral.
GUGCUCGCUUCGGCAGCACAUAUACUAAAAAACUGGAACCAUACAGAGAUUAGCAUGGCCCCUGCGCAAGGAUGACACACAAAUUCGUGAAGCGUUCCACAUUUUG